This 63-nucleotide transfer RNA is filed under the name Physosmaragdina sp. N56. RNAcentral's name for it is "tRNA-Asn". Lineage: Eukaryota; Metazoa; Arthropoda; Insecta; Coleoptera; Chrysomelidae. The record is from RNAcentral.
UAAUUGAAACCAAGGGAGAGGUGUGUCACUGUUAAUGACACUAAUGAAUGAAUUACAUUCCAA